GUUGUUGCAGUUAAAAAGCUCGUAGUUGGAUCUCAGGCUUGUGGCCGGUGGUCCGCUCGAUACGGGUGUGCACUGCCGUGUCCGGCCUACGUCUGGUCUAACGUCCAUAGUGCCCUUAACCGGGUGCUAUGGAACGCCAGAAAGUUUACUCUGAAAAAAUUAGAGUGCUCAAAGCAAGCCGUUUGUGCUUGAAUACUGUUGCAUGGAAUAAUGGAAUAGGACCUCGGUUCUAUUUUGUUGGUUUUCGGAGUCGAGGUAAUGAUUAAGAGGGACAGACGGGGGCAUUCGUAUUGCGCCGUUAGAGGUGAAAUUCUUGGAUCGGCGCAAGACGAACAACUGCGAAAGCAUUUGCCAAGGAUGUUUUCAUUAAUCAAGAACGAAAGUCAGAGGUUCGAAGACGAUCAGAUACCGUCGUAGUUCUGACCAUAAACGAUGCCAACUGGCGAUCCGCCGCAGUCUGGCUUAAAGGACUCGGCGGGCAGCCUCCGGGAAACCUAAGUCUAUGGGUUCCGGGGGAAGUAUGGUUGCAAAGCUGAAACUUAAAGGAAUUGACGGAAGGGCACCACCAGGAGUGGAGCCUGCGGCUUAAUUUGACUCAACACGGGAAAACUCACCCGGCCAGGACACCGUA
This 631-nucleotide ribosomal RNA is filed under the name uncultured eukaryote. Its description in RNAcentral is "SSU rRNA". It matches the Rfam family "Eukaryotic small subunit ribosomal RNA", at positions 609 to 1235 of the family's 1831-position model. The record is from RNAcentral.